Molecule: ribosomal RNA, 497 nt
Filed under: uncultured bacterium
Lineage: Bacteria
Description: partial 16S ribosomal RNA
Rfam family: Bacterial small subunit ribosomal RNA
Source: RNAcentral
GAUGAACGCUGGCGGCGUGCCUAAUACAUGCAAGUCGAACGAACAGACGCGGCGCUUGCUCCUCUCACGUUAGCGGCGGACGGGUGAGUAACACGUGUAUCCCCUACCUAUCAUACUGGUAUAACUUGGGGACACCGGAGCUAAUACCGUAUAAUCUCUUGAACCGCAUGGUUCAUUAGUAAAUUACGGUCUUUCUGUCUCUUAUCGCUGCAUCUGCGCCGCAUUAGCUAGUUGUUAAGGUAAAGGCCUACCAAGGCAACGAUGCGUAGCCGAACUGAGAGGGUGAUAGGCGACACUGGAACUGGGACACGCUCCAGGCGACUACGAGAGGGAGCAGUAGGGAACCUGACGCAAUGGUCGAAAGCAUGACGGAGCAAGCGGGAGUGAGUGAUGAAGGUCCUGCGAGCGUAAAACUCUGUUACUAGGGAAGAACAAAUGUGGAAUGAACCGUGCACGGCUUGACGGUACCUAAUAAGAAAGCAACGGCUAACUACGUG